This is a long non-coding RNA of Micropterus salmoides (largemouth bass), 383 nucleotides long. RefSeq lists it as uncharacterized. The record is from RefSeq and is a predicted model, not a curated record. Lineage: Eukaryota; Metazoa; Chordata; Actinopteri; Centrarchiformes; Centrarchidae. The transcript is spliced from 2 exons.
CUCCCUGCUCCGGAGCCCGGCUGGCUACCCACACCUGCACCUCGUUUACCUCCAUCCCCGGCCGCCGCACCUGCCAGCCAUCAGCCUCAUCACUGCCAGUAUAUCUACCCCGGCUUUCCACUCCACCCUCGCUCGAUCGUCGCAGCUCUUGACCUGGUUCACUCACCUCUGCCUCCCAGCUCGGCCAGCCGGGCUCGCUCGCCUGCCUCCUCCUCUCGCCGCCUCCACGACCCCCCCCGGCUUCUCCACUCGCACCCCGCCUGGACCCCCGUCUCCGUGUCCUCACCUACCCGUCUGCCAGCCUCCCCCCUAGCCUCCAGCCUUGUGCCCUCCGUUCCUCCAGCUUCUCGGUUCCCCGAGUCCUCGUCUGCCUCUCCCCCUCC